AUUGAACGCUGGCGGCAGGCCUAACACAUGCAAGUCGAGCGGAUGAAGGGAGCUUGCUCCUGGAUUCAGCGGCGGACGGGUGAGUAAUGCCUAGGAAUCUGCCUGGUAGUGGGGGAUAACGUCCGGAAACGGGCGCUAAUGCCGCAUACGUCCUGAGGGAGAAAGUGGGGGAUCUUCGGACCUCACGCUAUCAGAUGAGCCUAGGUCGGAUUAGCUAGUUGGUGGGGUAAAGGCCUACCAAGGCGACGAUCCGUAACUGGUCUGAGAGGAUGAUCAGUCACACUGGAACUGAGACACGGUCCAGACUCCUACGGGAGGCAGCAGUGGGGAAUAUUGGACAAUGGGCGAAAGCCUGACCCAGCCAUGCCGCGUGUGUGAAGAAGGUCUUCGGAUUGUAAAGCACUUUAAGUUGGGAGGAAGGGCAGUAAGUUAAUACCUUGCUGUUUUGACGUUACCAACAGAAUAAGCACCGGCUAACUUCGUG
This 484-nucleotide ribosomal RNA is filed under the name uncultured bacterium. RNAcentral's name for it is "partial 16S ribosomal RNA". It matches the Rfam family "Bacterial small subunit ribosomal RNA", at positions 30 to 507 of the family's 1533-position model. The record is from RNAcentral.